CACGCCGUAAACAAUGUGCGUUAGGUGUGUCGGUAACCACGCGUUACUGAUGCGCCGAAGAGAAAUCGUGAAACGCACCACCUGGGAAGUACGGUCGCAAGGCUGAAACUUAAAGGAAUUGGCGGGGGGAGGCACCACAACAGGUGGAGCCUGCGGUUUAAUUUGGAUUCAACGCCGGACAUCUCACCGGAUAAGACAGCUGAAUGAUUGUCAAUCUGAAGGUUUUACAUGACUAGCUGAGAGGAGGUGCAUGGC
This 255-nucleotide ribosomal RNA is filed under the name uncultured archaeon. RNAcentral's name for it is "partial 16S ribosomal RNA". It matches the Rfam family "Archaeal small subunit ribosomal RNA", at positions 747 to 998 of the family's 1478-position model. The record is from RNAcentral.